RNAcentral lists this long non-coding RNA (2478 nucleotides) under Lynx pardinus (Iberian lynx). The record is from RNAcentral. Lineage: Eukaryota; Metazoa; Chordata; Mammalia; Carnivora; Felidae.
UGGAAGGAGCUAGGCAAAAGGUGUUGCAAUUCCUUUGUUGAAGGACUUAUCUUCUGCAGUGCAAGAACUGAGUGCUACAGAGACCCUAGAUAAGUUCAAUCCUCUUGUCUAAAUACAGGCUAAAAGCAGGGACAGCUUGCUUUAUUGAGCAGAGAACACCAAAAUGUAAUUUUUAAUCAAAGUUUACAGUGUUAAAAAUGUACAUUUGCGGUUAGGAUUCUUCCGAAAGCCUGGGAAAUCUUUGCAUCCUCUAGUGAGAAGGGGAAGCAUCACUCCUGUCCCGAAAAGCAUAAGCUUAUGGAAGUAAUUAGUCCUUGGGAGUCUUGGUUGCACUCAGCCUUCUGCUCUUAGCCACCACUGCUUCCAGGUUUGACAUAAAGUGCAAACUUUCUUUUAAGUGCUUCUUUUAUUGUGUUGUUGAUAUGCACUCAUUUGGUAUUGUUACUUUAAAGCACCUCAAACAUUUUACAUUUUGUUGCCAUCUAUACAUUUCCUGUGAAGCAGCUUUGCUCUGAACCUGUCACACCUACAUCUGUUUUGACUAACUCACACAAUCUACACAGUUUUUCAUUCAAAGCUCUUCCCCUACCUACCCCCAUUUUUUCUAUUCAAUGCCUGAAAAAACAAAACAAAACAAAAACAAAAAGCAAACAAAAAAGCAUAGGUUUUAUAAAUGCAUAGAUUCUGAUUUAAAAAGAAUAAAAACAAACUAAGCAAAAGGAGAAAAAAGGUGAUAUUCUAAAAGCCAGGCUUCUUUUAUCAUCAGUACAGAUUCUUUUUCAUCAUAGUGAAUUUACAUUUCAGGAAAGUGUUAAUAAUUUAGAUUUAAAUACCAGGGUAGAAAUCAGGACAAAAUUUAAAUGGCAGAUCUAGGACUUUUCAGAUAUUCUGGUAGAAGAUUUUGGAUAAAGUUGUGCUACUUUUCCUUUUUUUUUUUUAGUAUUUAAUGUCAAAAUAUUACAUUGCAAAUAAACCUUACAGAUUGUGAAGAAAUUUGCUUGGCAGAAAAAUGACUUUGCAUAAUGUCUAAACCUUAAAGUAGCUGCUAAGAUGUUUGUUACAUCUGAAAUGUUGCCAAAUCCAUUUGUAUUGAAGAAGGAACUCUGAGGUAGUCUCAGAGAAAAUUAAAGCACAGUGAAACAAACAUACAGUUACAGGAGUUGGACAAGCCCACAUAAUACAUUGCAGAAUGGAAGGGGCAAAACUGAACUGGUCAAGAAAGUUAUAGUGAUAAUGGUCACGGAAUUCUGUGCCUUCAGAGAGAGUGAUGACCAGUGAAGCAGGGAUAUGCAGCAUCUAGGCACAGUUCGGUUACAAUAAGCCGACUUUUUCCCCAAACAACUCGUGUCUUGGAAAUUUGAAGUGAAUAAAAAUAUAUUAGUAUUUGAGAAUAUACUGUUCCUUCACCUCCUCCCACAUGUUAAUUAAAGAUGCCUUGCAAAAUCUUAUGACAACUUAACAUUCACUAAUCUAGAGCAGUGUUCUUCAAUCUUUGGAGUCCUGUACAAUAUUAGUAAGAUAUUUUGGUACAUGGACAGUAUAUUAUCAAUACAUAAGCAUAAAUGUAAAUAUUACAAAGAUUAAUGAUUUAUAAACAUAAUAUGCUACCCUCACUCUGAUAUACUAUGGUAUAGUGGUAAAGCUUAUUUUAUUUUCUGAAUGAGCAUGAAUAUAAAUAAAAAUUCUAAUAUUUUCUUCACUUAACCCAAGUGAAUCAAUCAUCUUUAUAUUUUACUUUGGAAACUGCUGCAGUAGGCUAGUGGGUCUUCAUUUUCUGUAUCACUGUGAGAACUAGAUAAAAGAUGAUAGAUACAGACCAUCAUCUUUCCAAAAAUGUGCAUAUGACCUUAUACCCUAGACUUACCUGUAUUUCCAGAGGGCUCCCUGGAUUCUGUUCCUAGGCCACUCUUGUUAGGUAGCCUAAUCCUCAAACUGAGAACUUAUUAGAAGAGAGGAAAAAAUAGUAAAUAAUGUUUGAAAUGAGAAGUGUACAACCAGGAGAAAUCAGUGACUUUUGGUUUAGAUGAAACCACUUUUGAUUUUUGAGGAAUAAAGGGAAUUAGUUUAUUUGGUACUAUUCUGUAGAAUAAUUCAUGGGGCUUCACAUAUAGGCAACUAAAGUUUCUUUUCAGCCAAUAUUUAACAUAUCUCUCGACCUAUUUUUCUCUAGUUUUUGGUAAAUGUGUAUGCUAGAGGUAUCCCAAUUUUUUUUUUUCUAAUUUAAGUACUUCUUUUCACUUCUCCUCUAUGUGAAAUAGAAUCACUGUUGGACCUUGCAUUGAAAACCUUGAUACUAACAACACUCCUUUUAUUAUUACUUUCACAGGUGAUAUUUUAAAUAACACAUUUAUUUUGAGUUCUGCCUCUGGCAGAGUUGCAAAGUCUAUCAAAAAGUUAUCCUGUGUCUCAGAAGCUUGUUGGUGCUGCCACAUAAAUAUUGUAACAAGUGUUAAAUAAAAACCUUUUUAAAAUUUAAAA